UCAUCCAUCGGGGAAGUCCGGUUUUAUGGGGAGCCUGGUAGGAGGUCGGUCGGUGAUGGACUUCGGAUAGCGCUGGGGAGGCUCGGCAGACAUCGAAGGCGAUCGGCUAUCGUAGGGACCCAGCUGCUAGAGCUCGUCCGUUAUAGAAGCUCGUCUGGAAUCCAUCCGCUGGAAAAGUUCGGACGGGAUCCUGUUGUCGCGAGAGGUUGAGAGGGGAC
RNAcentral lists this long non-coding RNA (218 nucleotides) under Elaeis guineensis (African oil palm). Its description in RNAcentral is "long non-coding RNA (EGUI_LNC038395)". Lineage: Eukaryota; Viridiplantae; Streptophyta; Magnoliopsida; Arecales; Arecaceae. The record is from RNAcentral.